This 497-nucleotide ribosomal RNA is filed under the name uncultured bacterium. RNAcentral's name for it is "partial 16S ribosomal RNA". It matches the Rfam family "Bacterial small subunit ribosomal RNA", at positions 28 to 507 of the family's 1533-position model. The record is from RNAcentral.
GAUGAACGCUGGCGGCGUGCCUAAUACAUGCAAGUCGAGCGAACAGGCGCGGCGCUUGCUGCUCUGACGUUAGCGGCGCACGGGUGUGUAACGCGUGGAUCCCCUACCUAUCUGACUGGUAUAAUUUCGGGAAACCGGAGCUAAUACCGGAUGAUAUCUUGCAGCGCGUGGUGCGAUGGUGAGAGACGGUUUUGGUGGCACUUCUAGCUGGAUCCCGGCCGUAUGAGCUAGUUGGUGAGGUAACGGCUUACCAAGGGGACCAUGCGUAGCCGAGGUGAGGGGCGGAUCGGCCACCUGGGAACGGGACCAGCGUCCAGACUCCUGAGGGACGCAGCAGUAUGGAACGUUCCGCAAUGGGCGAAAGCCUUACGGAGUGACGGCGCGUGAGUGAUGAAGGUCUUCGGAGCGUAAAACUCUGUUACGAGUGAAGAACAAAUGUGUAAGUAACUAUGGCCGUCUUGACGGUACCUAAUCAGAAAGCCACGGCUAACUACGUG